UACAUAGUAAAUUUGAGGACAGCCUAGAC
RNAcentral lists this non-coding RNA (29 nucleotides) under Rattus norvegicus (Norway rat). Lineage: Eukaryota; Metazoa; Chordata; Mammalia; Rodentia; Muridae. The record is from RNAcentral.